GACGAACGCUGGCGGCGUGCCUAAUACAUGCAAGUCGUGCGGACCUUUUAAAAGCUUGCUUUUAAAAGGUUAGCGGCGGACGGGUGAGUAACACGUGGGCAACCUGCCUGUAAGACUGGGAUAACCCCGGGAAACCGGGGUUAAUACCAGAUCGUUUUUUCCUCCGCAUGGAGGAAAAAGGAAAGGCGGCUUCGGCUGCCACUUACAGAUGGGCCCGCGGCGCAUUAGCUAGUUGGCGGGGUAACGGCCCACCAAGGCAACGAUGCGUAGCCGACCUGAGAGGGUGAUCGGCCACAUUGGGACUGAGACACGGCCCAAACUCCUACGGGAGGCAGCAGUAGGGAAUCUUCCGCAAUGGACGAAAGUCUGACGGAGCAACGCCGCGUGAGUGAAGAAGGCCUUCGGGUCGUAAAACUCUGUUGCCGGGGAAGAACAAGUGCCGUUCGAACAGGGCGGCGCCUUGACGGUACCCGGCCAGAAAGCCACGGCUAACUACGUG
This 499-nucleotide ribosomal RNA is filed under the name uncultured bacterium. RNAcentral describes it as "partial 16S ribosomal RNA". It matches the Rfam family "Bacterial small subunit ribosomal RNA", at positions 28 to 507 of the family's 1533-position model. The record is from RNAcentral.